RNAcentral lists this ribosomal RNA (87 nucleotides) under Enterobacter cloacae. RNAcentral describes it as "partial 16S ribosomal RNA". The stretch from base 1 to 77 matches the Rfam family "Bacterial small subunit ribosomal RNA", at positions 1457 to 1533 of the family's 1533-position model. RNAcentral also lists the same sequence under 8 other names. Lineage: Bacteria; Pseudomonadati; Pseudomonadota; Gammaproteobacteria; Enterobacterales; Enterobacteriaceae. The record is from RNAcentral.
CCACUUUGUGAUUCAUGACUGGGGUGAAGUCGUAACAAGGUAACCGUAGGGGAACCUGCGGUUGGAUCACCUCCUUACCUUAAAGAA